Molecule: ribosomal RNA, 200 nt
Filed under: uncultured bacterium
Lineage: Bacteria
Description: partial 16S ribosomal RNA
Rfam family: Bacterial small subunit ribosomal RNA
Source: RNAcentral
UACAGAGGGUGCAAGCGUUAAUCGGAAUGACUGGGCGUAAAGGGCGCGUAGGCGGUUUGACAAGUGCGUUGUUAAAGACUCGGGCUUAACCUGGGUAUGUCAAUGUAUACUGUUAGACUUGAGUGAGAGAGAGGUUAUAGGAAUUUCCGGAGGAGCGGUGAAAUGCGUAGAUUUCGGAAGGAACAUCAGUGGCGAAGGCG